CAGUCGCCGCGGGAACACGUGGGGUGCGAGCGUUAAUCGGAAUUACUGGGCGUAAAGCGUGCGCAGGCGGUUAUAUAAGACAGAUGUGAAAUCCCCGGGCUCAACCUGGGACCUGCAUUUGUGACUGUAUAGCUAGAGUACGGUAGAGGGGGAUGGAAUUCCGCGUGUAGCAGUGAAAUGCGUAGAUAUGCGGAGGAACACCGAUGGCGAAGGCAAUCCCCUGGACCUGUACUGACGCUCAUGCACGAAAGCGUGGGGAGCAAACAGGAUUAGAUACCCCCGUAGUCCCUGUCUCUUAUAC
RNAcentral lists this ribosomal RNA (301 nucleotides) under uncultured bacterium. RNAcentral describes it as "partial 16S ribosomal RNA". It matches the Rfam family "Bacterial small subunit ribosomal RNA", at positions 509 to 807 of the family's 1533-position model. The record is from RNAcentral.